This 497-nucleotide ribosomal RNA is filed under the name uncultured bacterium. RNAcentral's name for it is "partial 16S ribosomal RNA". It matches the Rfam family "Bacterial small subunit ribosomal RNA", at positions 28 to 507 of the family's 1533-position model. The record is from RNAcentral.
GAUGAACGCUGGCGGCGUGCCUAAUACAUGCAAGUCGAGCGAACAGACGAGGAGCUUGCUCCUCUGACGGUAGCGGCGGACGGGUGAGUAACACGUGGAUAACCUACCUAUAAGACUGGGAUAACUUCGGGAAACAGGAGCUAAUACCGGAUAAUAUAUUGAACCGCAUGGUUCAAUAGUGAAAGACGGUUUUGCUGUCACUUAUAGAUGGAUCCGCGCCGCAUUAGUUAGUUGGUAAGGUAACGGCUUAGCAAGGCAACGAUGCGGAGCCGCCCUGAGAGGGUGAUCGCACACACUGGAACUGAGACAGGGCCCAGACUCUGGGGGGAGGAAGCAGUCGGGACUCUUCCGCAAGGGGGGAAAGCCUGAUGGAGCACCACCGCGGGAUGGAUGAAGCUUUUCGGCCGGUAAAGUUCUGUUAUUGGGAAAGAAAAAAUGCUCAUUUACCCGUGCUGGUUUUGACGUUACCUAAAGAAAAAGCCCCGGCUAACUCCGUG